ACACUCUUAAAGUUUGGUUUAGACAAAAGAAAGGUCAAGUCCAUUUUAGGCUUGGACUACUUGGCUCUGCAUCAAAACAUAUAUCCUUUCUGUUACAAAGUAAAGAAUACAAGAAGCUAAUUUUUGGUAAAGGAUUUCACACAUUACAUAUCUCUAACUGAAAAUAGGAAAAGAUAUACCCCCAAGGAUCAAAGAUUAACUGGUAUUGUUGAACAUCAGUUGAAAGAAGUUAAAAAUACAAACAGCAACAACGAUUUGCUAAGCAAAAACGAAACAAGCAUACAAAUGGAAAAGUGUCUGGAAUACAUACCAUGGAAUAGUUUUAACUGGUUUGGAAGAAUAAUUUUGAUUUUCUUUGGUAUAUUUGGCUUUCUCGUUUUGUGG
Long non-coding RNA from Xenia sp. Carnegie-2017, 384 nucleotides. RefSeq lists it as uncharacterized. The record is from RefSeq and is a predicted model, not a curated record. NCBI's taxonomy places the organism in Eukaryota, Metazoa, Cnidaria, Anthozoa, Malacalcyonacea, Xeniidae. The transcript is spliced from 3 exons.